RNAcentral lists this ribosomal RNA (444 nucleotides) under uncultured Rhodospirillaceae bacterium. RNAcentral's name for it is "bacterial SSU rRNA". It matches the Rfam family "Bacterial small subunit ribosomal RNA", at positions 335 to 796 of the family's 1533-position model. Lineage: Bacteria; Pseudomonadati; Pseudomonadota; Alphaproteobacteria; Rhodospirillales; Rhodospirillaceae. The record is from RNAcentral.
UACCUACGGGAGGCAGCAGUGGGGAAUAUUGGACAAUGGGCGCAAGCCUGAUCCAGCAAUGCCGCGUGAGUGAAGAAGGCCUUAGGGUUGUAAAGCUCUUUCGGCGGGGACGAUGAUGACGGUACCCGCAGAAGAAGCCCCGGCUAACUCCGUGCCAGCAGCCGCGGUAAUACGGAGGGGGCUAGCGUUGUUCGGAAUUACUGGGCGUAAAGGGCGCGUAGGCGGUGCGAUCAGUCAGGCGUGAAAGGCCCGGGCUCAACCCGGGGACUGCGCUUGAUACUGUUGCGCUGUGAGUCCGGGAGAGGAUGGCGGAAUUCCCAGUGUAGAGGUGAAAUUCGUAGAUAUUGGGAAGAACACCGGUGGCGAAGGCGGCCAUCUGGACCGGCACUGACGCUGAGGCGCGAAAGCGUGGGGAGCAAACAGGAUUAGAUACCCCUGUAGUCC